UCUCCUUCAUUCCCGGAAGCCGAAGUGCCCCUGGAAUCUUGCACAGCCUUUGCUGUGACAGUCCUGCAGGUCGCUCAGGGGCAGGUCCUGAUUACGAGGAUCCUGAGAAGUGCCUGCUUCUCUGUGGCGACGACCAGGUUUACUGACUCUCAAGUAGAAAGAACCCAAGGGAUGCUCCUGCCACAUGUAUGAAGAAGCCGGGCCGAGAAGGAAGGACUCGCUCUGAAUCCACGGAAGUCGGAGCCCAAGGGUGAUGGCACAGCUGGUUUGCCUCCCAGGAGGCAGGGAGGCUCUUGCUGAUCAGGGCCAGGAGGAGAGGCCCCGCAAGGGAGGAGUCCCUUCACUGUAUUUUGUUUCUCAAUUAGAAA
Non-coding RNA from Manis javanica (Malayan pangolin), 368 nucleotides. NCBI's taxonomy places the organism in Eukaryota, Metazoa, Chordata, Mammalia, Pholidota, Manidae. The record is from RefSeq and is a predicted model, not a curated record.